This 1219-nucleotide long non-coding RNA is filed under the name Anser cygnoides (Swan goose). RNAcentral describes it as "lncRNA (ENSACDG00005001123.1)". The record is from RNAcentral. Lineage: Eukaryota; Metazoa; Chordata; Aves; Anseriformes; Anatidae.
AUGGAGAAGUGUAUAUUCUUUUAUUCAGAAACAAACAAGAUCCAUGAAGUUCUUAAGCAUAAGAGAUGCCCCAUUGGUCUUCUCUGGAUUUUCCUCAUUAUGUCUGGAUAUACUGAGUCUAUAAAAUGUAAGAGGAGAGGAAAUGUUUCUGAUGGAUUUACCCUUGGAAGACAAAUGAGAACAUUCAAACUUUUGUGGAUUGGAAAUCAAUGUGCAUAAAGCAAGAAAAAUGGGCAAUGUUAUCAAGCAAAUAGUUUACACAGUCUGUGAACUCCAGGAAAAAAAAAAAAGUCAUUUUACUAUCCUGAGUUAAGCUGGCAAACUGCAGCAUUAUCAAUUCCAACUAUAUUCCCAACUCUUACUGGUUUAGAUAUAUACCUUUCUUUUAAAACAUUGCCCUUUUUGCCACAAUGCACAGUGCUUGUGGUUGCCUUACAGUGGUCCCAGAUACGUAUUGGUAGAAGUUUAGUGCUUUUUUGGAUGCUACCUAAUUACUUUUUUAAAAAAAUAUGGUCAACAAUAAUAUUUUUCUCUGUAUUUGAAAUAGUUGCCCACACUUUGUAUGCCAAAUUUUUCAUCUUUCUUUUUUAAAGCUUAUACUGUGAAAUUUUCUCAUGUUGAUAUGCUCAGGUCCCUUAUUGGGAACUGUAUUAGGGAAACUAUUUGUAGCUCACCACAUUCAACUAAAUCCAGUAGAGCUCUUUCAUGAUGAAUGAGUCCUAUAACCAAUUAUAGAACAGAACAUUUGCUGCUCUUUUACAUCACAGAAUGUGACCUUUGCAUUGGUUAGGCUUUGUACCUGUUGAUAGUGCUUUUUAAGCAUAAAAUUGUCUAUUCUAAUUCUUACCUAUUCUGUCCUGGUGUCUUCCAUGUGUAGAAUGUAAUUACAAUGUGUAAUUCUGCAGAAUAUCUGUUAAGUGAAAAAGUUUAGGUGGAAUCUUGGCCCUAUUAAAGUAGAUUAAAAAUGCCAUUGCCUGGAAUGAAGUAAAAGUCUCUAAUUGUGGUUUUGUACAAAAUAGGCUAAGAAGAAGCACAAAAAAAAUGUUCAUCAGUUGUGGUUAUUUUUUAUCUCAAAUGUAAGUUGUCCAGAGAAACUAAGCUUAGACUGCUUAAUUUCCAUGGUUUAAAAUCUUAUGACCCUUUCAAUAGUAAAUUCUCAAAUUAUCCAAAAGAAAAUUAUGAAAUCUGUCAUUGAAAACUCCAAUUUGUUAUAAAAGAA